UACCCAUGCGGGGAAGGAUGAGAAGCUUCGACUAAGGUUCGAUUCGAGCGCAGCGAGAAAGCGUUGCCGCAGGCAACGACCCGAAGGGCGAAGCGCGCAGCGCUGAGUAAUCCUUCCCCCACCACCA
Molecule: small RNA, 127 nt
Filed under: Salmonella enterica
Lineage: Bacteria; Pseudomonadati; Pseudomonadota; Gammaproteobacteria; Enterobacterales; Enterobacteriaceae
Description: partial RtT sRNA
Rfam family: RtT RNA
About the family: This family represents a bacterial cis-regulatory element known as RtT RNA. The exact function of RtT is unknown although it is thought that it may be involved in changing the cellular response in relation to amino acid starvation.
Source: RNAcentral